GGUGGUUCUCGGGUGACGCACCCAGGAAUCGGGCUCCCUCUUCUCUGGUUCCGGGUGCGUCACCCGAGAACCGCA
Molecule: non-coding RNA, 75 nt
Organism: Myotis lucifugus (little brown bat)
Lineage: Eukaryota; Metazoa; Chordata; Mammalia; Chiroptera; Vespertilionidae
Source: Rfam